This 300-nucleotide unclassified non-coding RNA is filed under the name Glomeraceae sp. Its description in RNAcentral is "partial internal transcribed spacer 2". Lineage: Eukaryota; Fungi; Glomeromycota; Glomeromycetes; Glomerales; Glomeraceae. The record is from RNAcentral.
GUGAAUCAUCAAAUUUUUGAACGCACAUUGCACUCCCUUCUGUUCGGAUGACUACUUCAGUUUCAGUAUCAAUAAAAAUCGGUGUGUUUCUUCUUUGUGCUGCUCCGGAGUUUGGGUCAUCUUACUAUCCUUUAGGUUUUAAGAGGCUUAAAAUUGACUGUUUUUGCGCAUUUUAUAUCUACAUAAAUUCUUUUUUUUAUUCGUCUGUCGUACUUCUCAGAGUCCUAUUAGAUUCGACUAUAUCGUGUGGUUUCGUGUCUAUGAAUUUUUCAUGAGUUGGCCUCCAAUCAGGUAGGAGUA